This 403-nucleotide ribosomal RNA is filed under the name uncultured bacterium. RNAcentral's name for it is "partial 16S ribosomal RNA". It matches the Rfam family "Bacterial small subunit ribosomal RNA", at positions 28 to 526 of the family's 1533-position model. The record is from RNAcentral.
GACGAACGCUGGCGGCGUGCCUAAUACAUGCAAGUCGAACGCAGUGGGGACGGGUGAGUAACACGUGGGUAACCUCCCAUCAGAGGGGAUAACACUUGGAAACAGGUGCUAAACCGAUACUGAUGGAUGGACCCGAGGUGCAUUAGCUAGUUGGUGAGGUAACGGCGCACCAAGGCCACGAUGCAGAGCGGACCGGAGAGUGUGACCGGCCAAACUGGGACGGAGAAACGGCCCAGACUCCUACGGGAGGCAGCAGUAGGGAAUCUUCGGCAAUGGACGGAAGGCUGACCGAGCAACGCCGCGGGAGUGAAGAAGGUUUUCGGAUCGUAAAGCUCUGUUGUAAGAGAAGCGGUAUCUUACCAGAAAGGGACGGCUAACUACGUGCCAGAAGCCGCGGUAAUAC